RNAcentral lists this small RNA (975 nucleotides) under Rattus norvegicus (Norway rat). RNAcentral describes it as "uncharacterized LOC108351522". The record is from RNAcentral. Lineage: Eukaryota; Metazoa; Chordata; Mammalia; Rodentia; Muridae.
UGCCCCCAAGGGGACUAGAUUACAAGUACUCCUGGACACAGCUCUUUGAAGGCCUUUUCUGAAGCCUCCUCAGUGGCCUCUAGUGACUUGGUUUGCCUGCACAGUUCUGCUUAGAAUCCAAGAAUACUGCAUGAGACAACUUGGAAGCUGGGCUCUGGACAACAGGAUGUACUCCCUGAGCUCAGCCUGUUACUGUGGCAGCAGCUCCACGCCAUUCAAGUCCACCAGAUCUCUUGAUUGCAUCCUUCCUUCUUUGCUGGACUCAGUCUUCUGUCGCUUCACUCAUCACAACUCUGGAAGCAACAGGUUUUGUCCCACAUAACCAACAUAGACCAGGUCUGUCUGGGGAAGGAAGCCUAUGCCUGAAUCCUGCUCAACACUUGGACGGCAUCCAUGGGAGCUUUUGAUAGAGGUUAAGGAGGCUUUAAAUAUAGUAACAGCUGAUUGAAGAAAUGCUCCCCCAACCUUUUCUUCACCUACCAGAGCUUUAACAGAAAGACGUGAUAUUGGGUCUUGGACAUGAGACAUCCUCGGCCUUCAGGUGCCCACGUGGCCCUUGGGGAAUCCAUCCUGCUUCGUCUCCUUCAGCGUACACUCCUCGCUCAAGGACCCCGAGGGAGCAGAGAGGUCAUGAGAUGCUCCUAGACAAAGAGACCACUGUGCUCACCCUGCUGAGGGUCACCCCGGAGUUGCCCAUAGGUGGUGGGGGUUUGGGGUGCUGUGAGACUUGUGAUCUGCCCAGAUGCAGCCUAUUGCCUCACUGUGCCUGUCCCUGCUCGUCAUCAGCCCUGAAGCUACAGAAUGCUUGGGUAGCAAGGACCCAGAGCAGGAGGAGAUGCCAAUAGAGUGAAGGGGCUGUGUCAUCAGCUCUGCAUCACCAUGGGCUGACACCAGACCCUAGAAGGAGUACCAGGUAGGGGAACUGGGUCUGUGGGAUAGUACCCUCACAAGGGGUUCCUUCCUUUCCCUUCACCU